AUUGAACGCUGGCGGUAUGCUUAAGACAUGCAAGUCGUGCGGUAGAAGGCUUCGGCCUUUGAGAGCGGCGGACGGGUGAGUAACACGUGGGAAUCUGCCUAUUAGUGGGGGACAGCCCAGCGAAAGCUGGAUUAAUACCGCAUACGCCCUACCGGGGAAAGGACAGCAAUGCGCUAAUAGAUGAGCCCGCGUAAGAUUAGCUAGUUGGUAAGGUAAAGGCUUACCAAGGCGACGAUCUUUAGCUGGUCUGAGAGGAUGGCCAGCCACAUCGGGACUGAGACACGGCCCGGACUCCUACGGGAGGCAGCAGUCGGGAAUAUUGGACAAUGGGCGCAAGCCUGAUCCAGCAAUACCGCGUGUGUGAAGAAGGCCUGCGGGUUGUAAAGCACUUUCAGUUGGGAAGAUAAUAGACGUUACCAACAGAAGAAAGCACCGGCUAACUCCGUGCCAGCAGCCGCGGU
This 461-nucleotide ribosomal RNA is filed under the name uncultured bacterium. RNAcentral's name for it is "bacterial SSU rRNA". It matches the Rfam family "Bacterial small subunit ribosomal RNA", at positions 30 to 521 of the family's 1533-position model. The record is from RNAcentral.